This 511-nucleotide ribosomal RNA is filed under the name uncultured bacterium. RNAcentral describes it as "bacterial SSU rRNA". It matches the Rfam family "Bacterial small subunit ribosomal RNA", at positions 34 to 518 of the family's 1533-position model. The record is from RNAcentral.
CGCUGGCGGCGUGCCUAAUACAUGCAAGUCGAACGGUCUUUCUAUGGAAGCUUGCUCCACUGAGAAGAUAGUGGCGAACGGGUGAGUAACACGUGGGUAACCUGCCCAUAAGAGGGGGGAUAACAUCCGGAAACGGGUGCUAAUACCGCAUAGUUUUCUUGAUUGCAUGAUUGAGAAAGGAAAGACGGCCUUUGUGCUGUCGCUUAUGGAUGGACCCGCGGCGUAUUAGUUAGUUGGUGAGGUAACGGCUCACCAAGACGAUGAUACGUAGCCGACCUGAGAGGGUGAUCGGCCACAUUGGGACUGAGACACGGCCCAAACUCCUACGGGAGGCAGCAGUAGGGAAUCUUCCGCAAUGGACGAAAGUCUGACGGAGCAACGCCGCGUGAGUGAAAGAAGGUUUUCGGAUCGUAAAACUCUGUUGUCAGAGAAGAACAAGUUGGAGAGUAACUGCUCCAGCCUUGACGGUAUCUGACCAGAAAGCCACGGCUAACUACGUGCCAGCCGCCGC